UCCGGUUGAUCGAUGCGUUUUACGAUACGCUCUCAAAGAGUCAAGUUGUUUGGGAUUGCAGCUUAAAAUGGGAGGUAAAUUUCUCCUAAGGCUAAAUAUUGGCGAGAGACCGAUAGCGAACAAGUACCGUGAGGGAAAGAUGAAAAGUACUUUGAAAGGAGAGUUAAAUAGCACGUGAAAUUGUUGAAAGGGAAACGAUUGAAGCCAGUCGUACCGGCGGAUAAUCAGCCUUUCGGGUGCGAUUCUGAGGGGCGUGAGGAGCUUAACCGCCUUCAUGUUUUGCAUAUUCGUGCACAUUUGGUGUACUUGUCCGUGUGGUGGGUUAACAUCAAUUUCGGUCGUCAUAAAAUGAUUGGAGGAAUGUAGCUUUGGUCUCGUAUCGAAGUGUUAUAGACUCUGGUAGAUGUGACGAUUGGGAUAGAGGAUUGCAACGGAUACCCCUUCGGGGGCUACCCGUCUGAUCUCUGAAGGUUGCUCCGGUGCCGAAAGCGUGCUUACGGUCAUCGAAAGUGAUUUUCAAAAGGUUAGAACGGGUUAAAUU
RNAcentral lists this ribosomal RNA (541 nucleotides) under uncultured Glomeromycotina. Its description in RNAcentral is "LSU rRNA". It matches the Rfam family "Eukaryotic large subunit ribosomal RNA", at positions 225 to 645 of the family's 3401-position model. The record is from RNAcentral. Lineage: Eukaryota; Fungi; Glomeromycota.